UGCAGUCGAGCGGUAACAUUUCCAGCUUGCUGGAAGAUGACGAGCGGCGGACGGGUGAGUAACGCGUAGGAAUCUACCGAGUAGUGGGGGAUAGCCCAGAGAAAUUUGGAUUAAUACCUUAUACGCCCUUCGGGGGAAAGAUUUAUCGGAUUUGGAUCGGCCCGCGUUAAAUUACGUAGUUGGUGGGGUAACGGCCUACCAGGCCUAGCAUCUAUAGCUGGUUUUAUAGAAUGAUCAUCAACACUGGAACUGACACACGGCCCAUACUCCUACGGGAGGAAUCAUUGGGGAAUCUUGGACAAUGGGCGCAAGCCUGAUCCAGACAUGCCGCGUGAGUGAUGAAGGCCCUAUGGUCGUAGAGCUCUUUCUCCAGAGAUGAUUAUGACAGUAUCUGGUAAAGAAACCCCGGCUAACUCCGUGCCAACAGCCGCGGUAAUACAGAGGGGGUUAGCGUUGUUCGGAAUUACUGGGCGUAAAGCGCGCGUAGGCGGACUGGAAAGUUGGGGGUGAAAUCCCGGGGCUCAACCCCGGAACUGCCUCCAAACUAUCAGUCUAGAGUUCGAGAGAGGUGAGUGGAAUUCCGAGUGUAGAGGUGAAAUUCGUAGA
RNAcentral lists this ribosomal RNA (606 nucleotides) under uncultured bacterium. RNAcentral's name for it is "bacterial SSU rRNA". It matches the Rfam family "Bacterial small subunit ribosomal RNA", at positions 56 to 694 of the family's 1533-position model. The record is from RNAcentral.